GAUGAACGCUGGCGGCGUGCCUAAUACAUGCAAGUCGAGCGAACAGACGAGGAGCUUGCUCCUCUGACGUUAGCGGCGGACGGGUGAGUAAAACGUGGAUAACCUACCUAUAAGACUGGGAUAACUUCGGGAAACCGGAGCUAAUACCGGAUAAUAUAUUGAACCGCAUGGUUCAAUAGUGAAAGACGGUUUUGCUGUCACUUAUAGAUGGAUCCGCGCCGCAUUAGCUAGUUGGUAAGGUAACGGCUUACCAAGGCAACGAUGCGUAGCCGACCUGAGAGGGUGAUCGGCCACACUGUAACUGAGACACGGUCCAGACUCCUACGGGAGGCAGCAGUAGGGAAUCUUCCGCAAUGGGCGAAAGCCUGACGGAGCAACGCCGCGUGAGUGAUGAAGGUCUUCGGAUCGUAAAACUCUGUUAUUAGGGAAGAACAAAUGUGUAAGUAACUAUGCACGUCUUGACGGUACCUAAUCAGAAAGCCACGGCUAACUACGUG
This 497-nucleotide ribosomal RNA is filed under the name uncultured bacterium. Its description in RNAcentral is "partial 16S ribosomal RNA". It matches the Rfam family "Bacterial small subunit ribosomal RNA", at positions 28 to 507 of the family's 1533-position model. The record is from RNAcentral.